Molecule: transfer RNA, 75 nt
Filed under: Actinobacteria bacterium HGW-Actinobacteria-10
Lineage: Bacteria; Bacillati; Actinomycetota
Also listed under: 2 other names
Description: tRNA-Val
Rfam family: tRNA
About the family: Transfer RNA (tRNA) molecules are approximately 80 nucleotides in length. Their secondary structure includes four short double-helical elements and three loops (D, anti-codon, and T loops).
Source: RNAcentral
GGGCGCUUAGCUCAGGGGGAGAGCACUUCCUUGACACGGAAGGGGUCGUUGGUUCAAAUCCAACAGUGCCCACCA